CGCCAGACUCCUACGGGAGGCAGCAGUGGGGAAUAUUGGGCAAUGGGCGGAAGCCUGACCCAGCAACGCCGCGUGAAGGAAGAAGGCUUUCGGGUUGUAAACUUCUUUUCUCGGGGACGAACAGAUGACGGUACCUGAGGAAUAAGCCACGGCUAACUACGUGCCAGCAGCCGCGGUAAUACGUAGGUGGCAAGCGUUAUCCGGAUUUACUGGGUGUAAAGGGCGUGUAGGCGGGACUGCAAGUCAGAUGUGAAAAUUAUGGGCUCAACCCAUAACCUGCAUUUGAAACUGUAGUUCUUGAGUGAUGGAGAGGCAGGCGGAAUUCCGUGUGUAGCGGUGAAAUGCGUAGAUAUACGGAGGAACACCAGUGGCGAAGGCGGCCUGCUGGGCUUUAACUGACGCUGAGGCUCGAAAGCGUGGGUAGCAACCAGGAUUAGAUACCCCCGUACC
This 450-nucleotide ribosomal RNA is filed under the name uncultured bacterium. RNAcentral's name for it is "bacterial SSU rRNA". It matches the Rfam family "Bacterial small subunit ribosomal RNA", at positions 329 to 794 of the family's 1533-position model. The record is from RNAcentral.